AUUGAACGCUGGCGGCAUGCCUUACACAUGCAAGUCGAACGGCAGCACGGGAGCUUGCUCCUGGUGGCGAGUGGCGAACGGGUGAGUAAUACAUCGGAACGUACCCUGAAGUGGGGAUAACGUAGCGAAAGUUACGCUAAUACCGCAUAUUCUGUGAGCAGGAAAGAGGGGGGAUCGUAAGACCUCUUGCUUUAGGAGCGGCCGAUGUCGGAUUAGCUAGUUGGUGAGGUAAAGGCUCACCAAGGCGACGAUCCGUAGCGGGUCUGAGAGGAUGAUCCGCCACACUGGGACUGAGACACGGCCCAGACUCCUACGGGAGGCAGCAGUGGGGAAUUUUGGACAAUGGGCGCAAGCCUGAUCCAGCCAUGCCGCGCGAGUGAAGAAGGCC
RNAcentral lists this ribosomal RNA (388 nucleotides) under uncultured bacterium. Its description in RNAcentral is "bacterial SSU rRNA". It matches the Rfam family "Bacterial small subunit ribosomal RNA", at positions 30 to 416 of the family's 1533-position model. The record is from RNAcentral.